UACGUAGGGAGCAAGCGUUGUCCGGAAUCAUUGGGCGUAAAGCGCGCGUAGGUGGCCUCGUAAGUCCGUUGUGAAAGUCAAAGGCUCAACCUUUGAAAGCCGAUGGAUACUGCGGAGCUAGAGUACGGAAGAGGCGAGUGGAAUUCCUGGUGUAGCGGUGGAAUGCGCAGAUAUCAGGAGGAACACCAAUAGCGAAGGCAGCUCGCUGGGACGUUACUGACACUGAGGCGCGAAAGCGUGGGGAGCGAACAGG
RNAcentral lists this ribosomal RNA (253 nucleotides) under uncultured bacterium. Its description in RNAcentral is "partial 16S ribosomal RNA". It matches the Rfam family "Bacterial small subunit ribosomal RNA", at positions 524 to 776 of the family's 1533-position model. The record is from RNAcentral.